AAGGUAGCAUAAUCACUUGUCCCCUAAAUAGGGACUAGAAUGAACGGCUAAAUGAGGACAAAACUGUCUCUUACGGACUAGCCAAUGAAAUUGAUCCUCCAGUACAAAAGCUGGAAUAAACACAUAAGACGAGAAGACCCUGUGGAGCUUCAAAACCAAAACCACUAAGUAUGGCUCUUAGUUUUUUAGUUGGGGCGACUUUGGAGUAAAAAAAACCCUCCAAAAAAUCAAUUUAUUUAUUAAGACUAACACAUCAAAAAUAAUUUUUAGACCCAGCAACAUUUGUUUGUCUGACCAAUGAACCAAGUUACCCCAGGGAUAACAGCGCCAUCCUCUUCUAGAGUCCCUAUCGACAAGAGGGUUUACGACCUCGAUGUUGGAUCAGGACACCCCUAUAGUGCAGCCGCUAUAAAAGGUUCGUUUGUUCAACGAUAAAAGUCCUACGUGAUCUGAGUUCAGACCGGA
Molecule: ribosomal RNA, 465 nt
Filed under: Podarcis muralis (Common wall lizard)
Lineage: Eukaryota; Metazoa; Chordata; Lepidosauria; Squamata; Lacertidae
Description: partial 16S ribosomal RNA
Rfam family: Bacterial large subunit ribosomal RNA
Source: RNAcentral